GUAAGUAUUCAAUCGCUGAUUUUUCAGAGGAAGUUCCAUGCUUGCGCUGAUAUCUAAUAUUUAUCAGCAGUGUUUUAGAAUGGUUAAAUCCAUUACACCAUUAUUAGUUUGGUGAUGAAGAUUAAAGUUCUUUUAAAUGAAUGGAGAUCGUAAAGGGCAACAGAAACGAGUUUUGUAGAAAUAUAAAAAUGAAACGGGCAACCUCCUAAAGCAAGAAACCCAAAUUAUGGUAGGGGAACAACAAGCAAUUGUUGAUGAUAUUUUAAAGUUUCAUAGAUAAAUGAUUGAUUAAAACAGAACGUGGGCUAUUCUU
This 313-nucleotide RNase P RNA is filed under the name Mycoplasmataceae bacterium. RNAcentral describes it as "RNase P RNA component class B". It matches the Rfam family "Bacterial RNase P class B". From Rfam's summary of the family: Ribonuclease P (RNase P) is a ubiquitous endoribonuclease, found in archaea, bacteria and eukarya as well as chloroplasts and mitochondria. The record is from RNAcentral. Lineage: Bacteria; Bacillati; Mycoplasmatota; Mollicutes; Mycoplasmatales; Mycoplasmataceae.